RNAcentral lists this long non-coding RNA (1871 nucleotides) under Chinchilla lanigera (long-tailed chinchilla). Its description in RNAcentral is "lncRNA (ENSCLAG00000027310.1)". The record is from RNAcentral. Lineage: Eukaryota; Metazoa; Chordata; Mammalia; Rodentia; Chinchillidae.
GUGAAAUGACUGGGAACCAGCAGAGGUCUGAGCUUCAGGACAGGGUCUGCACCAGGCUGAGAUCGCCCGGAAGUAAGAGGACUGCAAGAACUCCAGGCGACAGCUCUGCUGGCUAGACGUCUCCUGAGCCCGCGUCUCAGGCGGGGCCUGGCUGGAGGUGGUCCCUGGGGUGUGACCUGAAAGGGUGCACUCUGGUCCCUGGCUCCGGCCUUCUCUCUCCGCUUCCUGGCUGCCAUGGACUGAGUAGCUGUCCUCUGCCAGGCCCCUCUGCCAGGAUGUGUCUGCCUCAGGGACAGUGACCCUGGACUGAAUCCUUUGAACCUGUGAGCUGGAGUAAACCCCUCCUUCCUGGGUACUGUGUCCGUUCAGGGAGAGCUGACUGGGACAGUGGGCCAUCAGGAGAUGUAAUUGGUUGGGGUUUACAAUCCAGAGUGUUUGUAUGUAAACAGGGCAGGUACUGGGAUUUAAAUCCGGCUUUCCACACAACUAAGUUUGUGUUGGUUUUGCCUACGUUGUUAACCCCGUAACUUCCCUUGUCUCCCCCUCCCUUGCUCUGGGUCUUUGUAACGAAACUGAGGCCAUCUCGGAAUUCUGUUUUCUCCAGGGCAGAGGAUGUGAUGAAGUUAAGGAUUGUGGGGAGGAGCUUAUCCUGCAUUAUCCCCCUGGGUCCUAAAAGCCUCAUUUGUGUCUUCGUAAGAGAGAGGCAGGAGAAGGUGAUGCUGGGCCACAUGAAGAUGGAGCAGAUUCAGAUGAGGCCACAGCAAAGGGACGCCAGGAGCCAGGAGACGCUGGCUGAGACAAGGGUGCAUCCGUUCCCAGAGCCUUUGGAAGGAGUGUGGCUGCCACCCGGACUUUGGACUUGUGGCCUCCAGACCGAGGAGGCCACCCAGCGUGUGGCGCUUGGCCAGCUGCCCCGGGGGCACAGACAUGGGAGUGCUGACCUCUGCACCUCUGAUCUCCUGCUGUCCCGGCUGGUGUUUGCUGCUCUCCUGCCCACCUGGCCGAGCACAUUCCCCACGUCUCUUCCGUGCCCGUCUCUGUGCCCAGACACCCAACAGCGAGCUGUCCCCAAAGGUAAAAGCAAGAAGCAUAUCUGUCACCGGGCACACACUGUCCCCAGCUGCUGCGUGUGUGGAACACCCUCCUCGUGGGCAGCUGCAUGAGGGACAGACAAGAGCUCUGAGAAGGGACCGUCCUCCUGGCCCCAGCUCCUCAGACAGCGAAACUUUCCAUUUUCAGGGUCCAUCAUGCACCAGUGAGUCAAGUCAUUGUGGUGUGGACAUGGGGACAGACAGACUGGUCAGCAGGACAGAACAGGAAUCCCAGAGAUAUCCCCAGAUCAUCUUUGUCAAAGGCACAAAAAUGCAUCAGCAGGAAAGACAACAAUGGUACUGGGCAGACACCCACGGGCAAAAUGUGGGCCUUGACCUGUGUCUCACGCCUUGCACAGAAAUUAACUCGGGGCUGGUUGCAGAUUAACUGCAAAGGGUAAAUGAUAAAACUUAACAAAAAUUCACAGGAUCCCAGGUUAGGGGGAAAUUUUAAAUAUGGCAAUGGAGGUACAACCCACAAGAGGAAAGAUGGGUGAACCAGACUUCAAAAUUAAAACUUCUGCUCUGGAAAAAGUCUUGUGCAGUGCUGGCUUUGACACACAUAUACUAAAAAGCCUUGCACCCGGGGUGAAAGGCCAUGCUGCAGAGGAUGAGGGUGUUUGCAAACCACUUACCCGACGAAGGACAGGAACCUGGAAUAUGCAGAGAACUCUCAGAACCCAGCACUUGGGAGGCUGAGGCAGGAGAAUCACUGUGAGUAGAGGCCAGCCUGAGCUACAUAGUCAGUUCAAGGCCAGCCUGAACUACGUAGCGAGACGC